This 163-nucleotide ribosomal RNA is filed under the name uncultured Flavobacterium sp. Its description in RNAcentral is "16S ribosomal RNA". It matches the Rfam family "Bacterial small subunit ribosomal RNA", at positions 337 to 497 of the family's 1533-position model. Lineage: Bacteria; Pseudomonadati; Bacteroidota; Flavobacteriia; Flavobacteriales; Flavobacteriaceae. The record is from RNAcentral.
UCCUACGGGAGGCAGCAGUGAGGAAUAUUGGACAAUGGGCGCAAGCCUGAACCAGCCAUGCCGCGUCGAGGAUGACGGUCCUAUGGAUUGUAAACUGCUUUUGUACGAGAAGAAACACUCCUACGUGUAGGAGCUUGACGGUAUCGUAAGAAUAAGGAUCGGC